UGUAACAGCAACUCCAUGUGCA
This 22-nucleotide microRNA is filed under the name Ovis aries (sheep). RNAcentral's name for it is "microRNA miR-194". Lineage: Eukaryota; Metazoa; Chordata; Mammalia; Artiodactyla; Bovidae. The record is from RNAcentral.